UACGGGGGUGCAAGCGUUGUUCGGAAUUAUUGGGCGUAAAGCGCGUGUAGGCGGUUUGAUUAGUCUGAUGUGAAAGCCCCUGGGCUCAACCCUGAGAGUGCAUCGGAAACUGGGGAUCUUGAGGACAGGAGAGGAAAGUGGAAUUCCACGUGUAGCGGUGAAAUGCGUAGAUAUGUGGAGGAACACCGGUGGCGAAGGCGGCUACCUGGACCGAUAUUGACGCUGAGACGCGAAAGCUGGGUAGCAAACAGGAUUAGAAACCCCUGGUAGU
Molecule: ribosomal RNA, 271 nt
Filed under: uncultured bacterium
Lineage: Bacteria
Description: partial 16S ribosomal RNA
Rfam family: Bacterial small subunit ribosomal RNA
Source: RNAcentral